Molecule: long non-coding RNA, 1104 nt
Filed under: Fragaria vesca (wild strawberry)
Lineage: Eukaryota; Viridiplantae; Streptophyta; Magnoliopsida; Rosales; Rosaceae
Description: long non-coding RNA (FVES_LNC004162)
Source: RNAcentral
AAAAAAAAACCCCGAAAUUUCUAAAUUACCAUUCCAAGCAAGCUGCAAAAUACACCAAAACAAUUCCAUAUAACCAACAACAACAAUAAGCACAUAAAACAAUAUAUAAUUCAUCAACUACAUAAAAUCUAGAUCGUCUAAAUUAAUAUCCGCUUCUGGGGGUUGCUGCGGAGGUUGCGGCGGCUGGGGUAGUGGUAUAGCCAUAGGCAUGGGCUGAGCCGGAAGUCCAUGAAGUUGGGCAGCUGUAAACUCCUACAUGUACUGGAGCAUCUGCCGCUGUUGGGCCUGCUGGAUGGCAUAUACCUCGGCAGUAUAGGCUGUCUGCGCGGCAUUAUAGGCAGCCUGAGCAGCUUGCUGUUCCUGUAGUCUCUAAAUUUCCGACUCUAGCUGAGUCGUCCUGCUGGUGGUCGAGGUCCUGCUGCUGGUCGAGGCUGCCUUUCGUUGAAAUCCUGGAGUGGUCUUCAGGACCCCCUCGCCCUUCUUUCCUAGACCCCGGCAGUAGAAGUUGUUUGCUCGCGGUGGGAAAGCUGUGCCCAUGAUCCUCGCCCCAACCCUCGGAUCCGAAGUGUCGAUCCGGGACAUGACUUCGGACAUCUCUUCCUCCUGCGUGUCCGGCCAUGUCUCCCUCACUAUAGUACUCAUCACCUCGUCACUAGCCUCCCUCACCUUCGCCUAAUUGGAUAGGAAAAAAAUGAUUAAUUAACAUUUUGACAUAUAUAUAAGUAAAAUAAAAAAUUAAAAAACGUAAGAUGACUUACAAUAUCCCCCUGGGAGUCAAGAUAUGCCUUCUCGUACGUAUAGAUGUACUGGUUGACUUCUAGAUGUUCCUGGCCACCUCAUCCAUGAAGACAGCGAACGGUCUAGAACCGGCAUGAUGGUUCCUUGUGUUGCGUUACCGGUUCUGAGCGUUCGCCCGGGAAACGGCCUUCAAAGAAAAAACUAAACUAUUAGUAAAAUAUUUAAAAACGCACGUACUUAAUGACAAAGUAACUAAUUAAUUUUUUUAAAUACCUGUUUACGAGGGUUGUUGAACUCUGAUGUCAGAAGCCAACGCCACUCGUACUCCCUGUACUGGAACUCAACAGGGGUACCAGAACGUGCGUU